GGCUGACUGACCUGCAGGUCUCGGUUGUGAUUCUCACAGAGCAGCUGGAGGAAGCGCAGGAUAGGCUGCAUGAUGACGAUGAUAAAGCUCAUCUCUCCAUCGUCCUGGCCCUUGUCCCCGGUGCUGGGUGUGCCAUCAGCCGUAGAGAAGUGGUCAUCGGGGUCGGCCUCACGGCGGUAUGAGUUGAAGGCUUUCUUAGUGGCCGACGAGGCCUCCAGCAGCUGCUCUCUCGCCUCAUCUGUCACCAGUACCGUAGCUGUUACAGGAAGAAGUGUGGCAUGCAGGAACAAUCUAACAUUUCCUGCAACAAAGUGACUGAUGUUGAUUGUUAAAAGAAAAUAAAUGAAGUUGGCCGGAGUGAAGAUUAUGACAUACAGUGAUCCAUGAUCUAAAGUCUUGCUUGAUUAUGUAUGUCCAGAAAUUGAUUAAAACCCGUUGAUUAUGAGCACA
Long non-coding RNA from Salmo salar (Atlantic salmon), 450 nucleotides. RefSeq lists it as uncharacterized. Lineage: Eukaryota; Metazoa; Chordata; Actinopteri; Salmoniformes; Salmonidae. The record is from RefSeq and is a predicted model, not a curated record.